AAAAAAUACAAAAAUAUUUUUCCAACCUCUUCGAAUGAUGAUAAAUCUAUGAAAAAUAUUCUCAUCAAUUUAUUAAUUGAUUUGAUAUUUAUUUGAGAUUUUAGUUCAAUUAGGUUAUUUUUAUGCAUUUUUAAUUGAUUUAAAAUAGUUUCUGACUUUUAAAAAUGCUGAAAUUUUUUGUCUAACUUUGUUUGACCUUGUUGAACUUGGGAUAAUUCACUUGGACUUUUCAAAGUUGAUUUGAAGUGAGUUUGAAGUUUGACCUU
RNAcentral lists this long non-coding RNA (266 nucleotides) under Lathyrus oleraceus (garden pea). RNAcentral describes it as "Pisum sativum (pea) long non-coding RNA (PSAT_LNC017463)". Lineage: Eukaryota; Viridiplantae; Streptophyta; Magnoliopsida; Fabales; Fabaceae. The record is from RNAcentral.